AACGCUAGCUACAGGCUUAACACAUGCAAGUCGAGGGGCAUCAUGAUCUAGCAAUAGAUUGAUGGCGACCGGCGCACGGGUGAGUAACACGUAUCCAACCUUCCAUUAACUCGGGGAUAGCCUUUCGAAAGAAAGAUUAAUACCCGAUAGUAUAGCAUUUCCUCCUGGUUUUGCUAUUAAAGAAUUUCGGUUAUUGAUGGGGAUGCGUUCCAUUAGUUUGUUGGCGGGGUAACGGCCCACCAAGACUUCGAUGGAUAGGGGUUCUGAGAGGAAGGUCCCCCACAUUGGAACUGAGACACGGUCCAAACUCCUACGGGAGGCAGCAGUGAGGAAUAUUGGUCAAUGGACGCGAGUCUGAACCAGCCAAGUAGCGUGAAGGAUGAAGGCUCUAUGGGUCGUAAACUUCUUUUAUACGGGAAUAAAGUGAACCACGUGUGGUUUUUUGUAUGUACCGUAUGAAUAAGGACCGGCUAAUUCCGUGCCAGCAGCCGCGGUAAUACGGAAGGUCCGGGCGUUAUCCGGAUUUAUUGGGUUUAAAGGGAGCGCAGGCCGUGGGUUAAGCGUGUCGUGAAAUUCCGUCGCUCAACGGCGGACGUGCGGCGCGAACUGGUCCACUUGAGUACGCGGGACGUUGGCGGAAUUCGUGGUGUAGCGGUGAAAUGCUUAGAUAUCACGAAGAACUCCGAUUG
This 689-nucleotide ribosomal RNA is filed under the name uncultured bacterium. RNAcentral describes it as "bacterial SSU rRNA". It matches the Rfam family "Bacterial small subunit ribosomal RNA", at positions 32 to 715 of the family's 1533-position model. The record is from RNAcentral. RNAcentral also lists the same sequence under 1 other name.